This 150-nucleotide small nuclear RNA is filed under the name Sus scrofa (pig). Its description in RNAcentral is "U2 spliceosomal RNA (ENSSSCG00045005907.1)". It matches the Rfam family "U2 spliceosomal RNA". Rfam says of the family: U2 is a small nuclear RNA (snRNA) component of the spliceosome (involved in pre-mRNA splicing). Complementary binding between U2 snRNA (in an area lying towards the 5' end but 3' to hairpin I) and the branchpoint sequence (BPS) of the intron results the bulging out of an unpaired adenosine, on the BPS, which initiates a nucleophilic attack at the intronic 5' splice site, thus starting the first of two transesterification reactions that mediate splicing. The record is from RNAcentral. Lineage: Eukaryota; Metazoa; Chordata; Mammalia; Artiodactyla; Suidae.
AUCGCUUCUCGGCCUUUUGGCUAAGAUCAAGUGUAGCAUCUGUUCUUAUCAGUUUUUUUUUUUUUUUUUUUUUUUUUUUUUUNAGCUGUAGCAGCCGGCCUACACCAGAGCCACAGCAACGCCAGAUCCGAGCCAUGUCUGCAACCUACA